UACGGAGGGUGCAAGCGUUAUCCGGAUUCACUGGGUUUAAAGGGUGCGUAGGUGGGCAGUUAAGUCAGUGGUGAAAUCUCCGGGCUCAACCCGGAAACUGCCAUUGAUACUAUCUGUCUUGAAUAUCGUGGAGGUAAGCGGAAUAUGUCAUGUAGCGGUGAAAUGCUUAGAUAUGGCAUAGAACACCAAUUGCGAAGGCAGCUUACUACCCGAAUAUUGACACUGAGGCACGAAAGCGUGGGGAUCAAACAGG
This 253-nucleotide ribosomal RNA is filed under the name uncultured bacterium. RNAcentral's name for it is "partial 16S ribosomal RNA". It matches the Rfam family "Bacterial small subunit ribosomal RNA", at positions 524 to 776 of the family's 1533-position model. The record is from RNAcentral.